CCGUUGCCGGCGACCGGCGCACGGGUGAGUAACACGUAUGCAACCUGCCCGUGGCAGGGGGAUAAGCGGGGGAAACCCCGUCUAAUACCGCGUAACGCGGCCUAGGGACAUCCCAAGGCCGCCAAAGGGAGCAAUCCCGGCCACGGAUGGGCAUGCGGCGCAUUAGCUAGUCGGCGGGGUAACGGCCCACCGAGGCGACGAUGCGUAAGGGUUCUGAGAGGAAGGCCCCCCACACUGGUACUGAGACACGGACCAGACUCCUACGGAAGGCAGCAG
This 276-nucleotide ribosomal RNA is filed under the name uncultured bacterium. RNAcentral describes it as "partial 16S ribosomal RNA". It matches the Rfam family "Bacterial small subunit ribosomal RNA", at positions 82 to 354 of the family's 1533-position model. The record is from RNAcentral.